RNAcentral lists this unclassified non-coding RNA (364 nucleotides) under uncultured bacterium. RNAcentral's name for it is "contains 16S-23S intergenic spacer region". The record is from RNAcentral.
UCCCCGUUGGCCGGGGCAGUCUGAUUUGAAAAAUACAACAAAUCAUAAGGGUUGCGCUCGUUGCGGGACUUAACCCAACAUCUCACGACACGAGCUGACGACGGCCAUGCAGCACCUGUCACCAGGCUCCCGGAGGCACUCCACUGUUUCCAGCGGAUUCCUGGGAUGUCAAGCCUUGGUAAGGUUCUUCGCGUACCUUCGAAUUAAACCACAUGCUCCACCGCUUGUGCGGGUCCCCGUCAAUUCCUUUGAGUUUUAAUCUUGCGAUCGUACUCCCCAGGCGGGAUACUUAACGCGUUAGCUUCUUAGCACCGAGGGUCGAUACUCAAUACUAACAGUAUCCAUCGUUUACGGCGUGGACUAC